RNAcentral lists this ribosomal RNA (288 nucleotides) under uncultured Actinomyces sp. RNAcentral's name for it is "partial 16S ribosomal RNA". It matches the Rfam family "Bacterial small subunit ribosomal RNA", at positions 223 to 523 of the family's 1533-position model. The record is from RNAcentral. Lineage: Bacteria; Bacillati; Actinomycetota; Actinomycetes; Actinomycetales; Actinomycetaceae.
GGAUGAGCCCGCGGCCUAUCAGCUUGUUGGUGGGGUAAUGGCCUACCGAGGCGACGACGGGUAGCCGGCCUGAGAGGGCGACCGGCCACACUGGGACUGAGACACGGCCCAGACUCCUACGGGAGGCGGCAGUGGGGAAUAUUGCACAAUGGGCGGAAGCCUGAUGCAGCGACGCCGCGUGAGGGACGACGGCCUUCGGGUUGUAAACCUCUUUCAGCAGGGACGAAGCGCAAGUGACGGUACCUGCAGAAGAAGCACCGGCUAACUACGUGCCAGCAGCCGCGGCCG